AGCGAACGCUGGCGGCAGGCCUAACACAUGCAAGUCGAACGAACCUUUCGGGGUUAGUGGCGGACGGGUGAGUAACACGUGGGAACGUGCCUUUAGGUUCGGAAUAACUCAGGGAAACUUGUGCUAAUACCGAAUGUGCCCUUCGGGGGAAAGAUUAAUCGCCUUUAGAGCGGCCCGCGUCUGAUUAGCUAGUUGGUUGAGGUAAUGGCUCACCAAGGCGACGAUCAGUAGCUGGUCUGAGAGGAUGAUCAGCCACAUUGGGACUGAGACACGGCCCAAAACCCCUCGGGAGGGAGCAGUGGGGAAUCUUGCGGAAUGGGCGAAAGGCUGACGCAGCCAUGGCGCGUGAAUUAUGAAGGUCUUAGGAUUGUAAAAUUCUUUCACCGGGGACGAUAAUGACGGUACCCGGAGAAGAAGCCCCGGCUAACUUCGUG
Molecule: ribosomal RNA, 434 nt
Filed under: uncultured bacterium
Lineage: Bacteria
Description: partial 16S ribosomal RNA
Rfam family: Bacterial small subunit ribosomal RNA
Source: RNAcentral